This 422-nucleotide ribosomal RNA is filed under the name uncultured bacterium. RNAcentral's name for it is "bacterial SSU rRNA". It matches the Rfam family "Bacterial small subunit ribosomal RNA", at positions 358 to 772 of the family's 1533-position model. The record is from RNAcentral.
GGAAUAUUGGACAAUGGGGGAAACCCUGAUCCAGCGACGCCGCGUGGGUGAAGAAGGCCUGCGGGUUGUAAAGCCCUUUCGGUGGGGAAGAAAAGCCUCGACCUAAUACGUCGGGGUCUUGACGUAACCCACAACAGAAGCACCGGCUAACUCUGUGCCAGCAGCCGCGGUAAUACAGAGGGUGCGAGCGUUAAUCGGAAUUACUGGGCGUAAAGGGCGCGUAGGCGGCCUGUUAAGUCGAACGUGAAAUCCCCGGGCUCAACCCGGGAACUGCGUCCGAGACUGGCAGGCUCGAAUCCGGGAGAGGGAUGUGGAAUUCCAGGUGUAGCGGUGAAAUGCGUAGAUAUCUGGAGGAACACCGGUGGCGAAGGCGGCAUCCUGGACCGGCAUUGACGCUGAGGCGCGAAAGCCAGGGGAGCAAA